UCUCCGUUGGUGAACCAGCGGAGGGAUCAUUAUCGAGUUUAUAACUCCCAAACCCUAUGUGAACUUACCACUUGUUGCUUCGGCGCGCGCUUCGGUGCCGCCGAGGACACUUAAACUCUUUGUUUUUAUAAGCAUUUCUGAGUGGCCGAAAGGCAAAAUACAAAUGAAUCAAAACUUUCAACAACGGAUCUCUUGGUUCUGGCAUCGAUGAAGGAACGCAGC
RNAcentral lists this unclassified non-coding RNA (222 nucleotides) under plant metagenome. Its description in RNAcentral is "partial contains small subunit ribosomal RNA, internal transcribed spacer 1, and 5.8S ribosomal RNA". The stretch from base 173 to 222 matches the Rfam family "5.8S ribosomal RNA", at positions 1 to 49 of the family's 154-position model. The record is from RNAcentral.